AAUCAACGCUGGCGGCGUGCCUCAGACAUGCAAGUCGAACGAUUAAAGCUCUCUUCGGAGAGUGUAUAGAGUGGCGCACGGGUGAGUAACACGUAAGUAAUCUACCUUUGAGUGGGGAAUAACAGUCGGAAACGGCUGCUAAUACCGCAUAAUGCAGCGGCAUCGCAAGAUGACAGUUGUUAAAGGAGCAAUCCGCUUAAAGAGGAGCUUGCGGCAGAUUAGCUUGUUGGUAAGGUAACGGCUUACCAAGGCUACGAUCUGUAUCCGGUCUAAGAGGACGGUCGGACACACUGACACUGAAUAACGGGUCAGACUCCUACGGGAGGCAGCAGUCGGGAAUUUUGGGCAAUGGGCGAAAGCCUGACCCAGCAACGCCGCGUGAAGGAUGAAGUAUUUCGGUAUGUAAACUUCGAAAGAAUAGGAAGAAUAAAUGACGGUACUAUUUAUAAGCUCCGGCUAACUACGUGCCAG
RNAcentral lists this ribosomal RNA (471 nucleotides) under uncultured bacterium. RNAcentral describes it as "bacterial SSU rRNA". It matches the Rfam family "Bacterial small subunit ribosomal RNA", at positions 32 to 511 of the family's 1533-position model. The record is from RNAcentral.